UGUUUCAGAUGUUUCAAGGGGUCAUAAAUCUUUUUCUUUAGGACGUUUCUGUUGCUACGUUUCUGAUUGCUUCCUUAUUGGAGAUCGAAUAUUCCGAUUCUCGUUUCACUGAUGCACGGCGUUGUAUUUCUUUCUAAGGUCGUUGUUUCCAUUGCGCUUCAUGGAUCGAUUGCCGUGACAUUGGAUUUGCAGAGGUAUUUUGGUCUUUGGUCCGCCUGUGAAAUCUUUCGCCACCGUUGUAUGUCUAGCAAGGUUAUAUUCAAUUCUUUGAAGGGAUUUGUUAGGUCUUAGGGUUUCUUCCGAAUCGUCAUUACAAACGAUAAUGGCCUGUGUCUUUUGUUCUGGCAAGAAGAAUAACAAUCUACAGUUCCUGUUUCGCGAAAGUUUCAAUUGCUAUUCGUAGGCACACUAAGGUGCUGUUGUAUUGAACAUCUGAGAACCGAAGGAGACGCAAAGUUGUGAAAGAGAACGUUGAGUCAUGAUAGACUUCGAUUUCAGGUUGGUCGGCAGCGCUGUCAUAUCGUUCCCGAUUGUGUAGCGUAACGCGCCUUAAUCAGCGAACUAAUGAGUAUUGGGAUUGAAAUGCAUCAUUGCGUUUUCAAUCUUUUUCAUAAUAUUGCAUCACAAUUUGUCCAAAUUAACACUUAGUGUCAACGGACUUAAGGUUCAUGUUUUAGGGUUUAUUUGCCUGCCAUUGCAUGAAAUCGCAUACAGUCCACUAUACAUUACCUAUCCUAACCCAAAAGGGGAAACCUCUCAAAUGUAAUCAGAAUGACAUUGGAUCGAGCACGAUCAAGUGUCUGAAGAAAUAGUUCGCAGAAGGUACCUUCGCUACACGAUUUGAAACAAAAUUCUUUCUAGCAUGCUGCACUACAGUUAUUGACAAACAAAUGAAAACCGAUUGAGUUCAAUGCAUUCGAACGUUGUGUUCCGUAUUAUAGUCGCAUACUUGUCGCAAUCGUCACAUUCUACUCCUGAAAAUCGUUCAUCUGAGAUGAUUAAGCUUAUUGUUGCAAAAACGCACAUGCUAUGUGGCCCGUACUCGCUGUUCCAGAAAUAGUUUAACACCUUUAAGUCUAAUCGAUUGUUAGAAGUAUGCGACUUGAUUCUGAAUCAUACCAAUAAACAUUAAAAAAUAUCCUG
Molecule: long non-coding RNA, 1143 nt
Organism: Aedes aegypti (yellow fever mosquito)
Lineage: Eukaryota; Metazoa; Arthropoda; Insecta; Diptera; Culicidae
Exons: 6
Source: RefSeq, a predicted model, not a curated record